Long non-coding RNA from Macrobrachium nipponense, 598 nucleotides. RefSeq lists it as uncharacterized. NCBI's taxonomy places the organism in Eukaryota, Metazoa, Arthropoda, Malacostraca, Decapoda, Palaemonidae. The transcript is spliced from 3 exons. The record is from RefSeq and is a predicted model, not a curated record.
ACCUCGUGGCGGGGGUAGGAGGAUACCGGCCUCCGGGGACCGGGUGAGGAGGCAGGCACUGGCAGGCAGACAGUUAAUCCUUGAGAUGUGACCGCGUAAGGGUGCACCAGCAGCACCACCCUUAUCAUCUCGCACGUGGAUAGCCUUCCUGUCUCGUCAUGGAAUGUGUUCACCUUCGUCAUGAAAUGGGUGAACGAAUCAUCAUGAAGAAGGGAGUAGUGAUGAAGAACGCCUCGUUGCUGCCGGUGGCGUUGCAGAAGCAAUCGCUCGACGAUGUUUCGCUUCAAGUUCUACUGCGGCCAUUUCGAGCAUCCAAAUCGUUUCAGUACUACAUCCAUGAAGACGAUUAGGUACAGCUCACAGUUCGACAGUUAGGUCAAGUCAUUUAAGUUACCGUAUAAAACAGAAAAAAAUGCGUAGUAUCUCUUCAUUUAUGUAGAGCCAUUGAUAGAUCUUAUAGCAGAGAAUUAAGAAUGUUCCUCAGUAAAGUUCCAUUUGUUACGUGGUUCUAUUAAUAACUACUAAGGUAUUUUGAAUUUUGAAAUGAAUUGAACUCUGGAGUCAGUGUUGUCGAAAGUCGGUUUUUAAGAACCAUUUG